UUGUGUCUGAUUCGUUGGAUAGGUGUUUGUAUAAAGCUCAUCUUUGAUAUGAAGUAGGCUGAGUGGCAAUUGCUGGUUGCAUCCUUUUGUCUUUUUUUUUUUUUUUUUUUUUUUUUUGAGAUGGAGUCUCGCUCUUGUUGUCCAGGCUGGAGUGCAAUGGUGUGAUCUUGGCUUACCGCCGUACACACAUACACAUUCUACCUCCCGUCACGCCCGGGUGGUGAGAGUUAGGGGAACAUGCUUGUCUUGAGCCUGAAGUAGACAAAGAAGCUCCCCUAGUUAAAUUAAAUAUGCAUGUACUCAUUUACACAGCAGUUCUGCUCCUGGGCUCCUAUACCAAAGAAAUCACACCUACCUCCAUCAGAAACAGGUGUGAGGCUUUUUUUCUGGUCGCCCUGCACUUUGCCUUUUCCACUUACAAUUUCAUAUCUAUCCACCUAUCUAUCCAUUAUCUAUCUAUCCAUCUGUCAUCUACCCAUUCAUCUUCCAUCAUCUGUGCACCUGUGUAUCUACAUAUCCAUCACCUGACCAUUCAUCUUCUAUCCAUUUAUCUAUCAUCUAUCCAUCCAUCUUCUAUAUAUUAUCUAUGUAUCUAUCCAUCCAUCAUCUAUUAUCUAUCUAUCUAUCUAUCUAUCUAUCUAUCUGACACCUAUCUCUUAUUGUUGUCCUUCCAUUCCUGUAGAUAUGGACCAACUUCUUCCGUCCUUCUUUUUCUUCUACUUCUCUCUUUCUUUCUUCUUUCUUUCUUUCUCUUUCUUUCUUUCUUUUUCUCUCUCUUUCUCUCUCUCACUCUCUCUUUCUUUCUUUCCUCUCGACCCUGUUUAUUGAUAAUUCAACAGAACCAGUUUGAAAUAUGGAGAAAUUAGGUCAACUCUACACUUUCACAUGGCUUAUUUUCAGCUUCCAAUCUUAGCUAGUGACAUGACUCUUUCUUCCAAGUCGAGGUCUUGCAGCACUUGCCUUCACUCCCGUAGCUGUAGUUAGACAGCACCUUAGGCUUGGGUCGACCCUCGGUGAACUCUAUGCCGUGUCCCGCCGCGCCACAGCACAGCUUUCUCCUCAUUGUCUUCUGGCUCUGACUGUAGACAUGGAAAAAGCAGAGUCAACCUGAAUCUUCUCCCUUGCACGAGGCCAACUGCUGCCUGAAUCAUCAUAGGAUUCUUUACUUUCUCUUGAAGAUAAACAACUUCACCAGAAAAUGUCCAAGUGUUGUUCAGCAAUUGAGAGUUUCUUUUGCUAUGUUUGUUUUCAUCACUUUUACUUCAUACCUUUUUUUUUUCAUUUAAUUUUGUGUCGUUUUUCUCAAGGCUGACACAUCACAAACUCUGUUUUCAACAGUCCGUAUUCCACAUUCAUUGCUUCUAACAUGGAGCUAACUUCUGCAAUGAUGUGGCCACCACUGGAACAGGAAGGUUGCUGUCAGAAUCUGGAGAAAUUCAUGGGAAGUUUAAUGUUGCCAGUGAGAGAAACACUCUGUGAGCUGUUCUUAGGGUCUGCUGGUGAGAUGGCUCAGGAAGGGUAAACACUGGAGGCAUGAGAAUACCAUCGAAGGGGCCGACUGCAGUGCCGGGCAUUGUGUAGGCCACAGCCACCAGUGCCUCCAUGUUUCUGACCAAAUGCUUCAGUGCCCUUUAGUGAGUGUGUCGCAGACAAGGCAUUUUUGUAUGAGAUCCAGGGUUCAUACCAUCAUGAUUCUUAGCCUUCAUAUUCAUCACACACUGGAAGGGACGCUGCGUGCCAGGCGUUCCGGCCGGCCAUCUGCGGGGGAAGGAGGAGCAUGGCCUGGAGAUGUGGAGCUUCUGGGCAGCAUGGCGCUGAAGCGCUGCUAGCUAAGAAUUACUAAACAACUCAGGUUCAGCCAACUCUAAUUUGUGUUUUAU
This 1880-nucleotide long non-coding RNA is filed under the name Homo sapiens (human). Its description in RNAcentral is "non-protein coding lnc-IRF4-20:5". Lineage: Eukaryota; Metazoa; Chordata; Mammalia; Primates; Hominidae. The record is from RNAcentral.